RNAcentral lists this ribosomal RNA (427 nucleotides) under uncultured bacterium. RNAcentral describes it as "bacterial SSU rRNA". It matches the Rfam family "Bacterial small subunit ribosomal RNA", at positions 355 to 774 of the family's 1533-position model. The record is from RNAcentral.
UGGGGAAUUUUGGACAAUGGGCGCAAGCCUGAUCCAGCCAUGCCGCGUGAGUGAAGAAGGCCUUCGGGUUGUAAAGCUCUUUCGGACGGGAAGAAAUGGCGGGCUCUAACAUAGCCUGUCGAUGACGGUACCGUAAGAAGAAGCACCGGCUAACUUCGUGCCAGCAGCCGCGGUAAUACGAAGGGGGCUAGCGUUGCUCGGAAUUACUGGGCGUAAAGGGAGCGUAGGCGGACAUUUAAGUCAGGGGUGAAAUCCCGGGGCUCAACCUCGGAAGUGCCUUUGAUACUGGGUGUCUUGAGUAUGAGAGAGGUGUGUGGAACUCCGAGUGUAGAGGUGAAAUUCGUAGAUAUUCGGAAGAACACCAGUGGCGAAGGCGACACACUGGCUCAUUACUGACGCUGAGGCUCGAAAGCGUGGGGAGCAAACA